AAAGGGGAUUUAGGGUUCCUACUUUUGACCAUUCGCCUCUCACUCUGAUGAACUCGACGACGCGGCGGCUUUCUUUGUCCGGUCAACCCUCGGAGCGCCACCGUAAGCCCGUUCCCCUCCGACGACUCAUUCUCUCGCUUCUGAACUCGUUCGCUCUCAUCUCAUCUCUCGUUCCAAACCUCUCCAUCUCUCUCGCGGAUUCUCUCAUCCCCAAUUCAUUCUCGAUCGAAUGCGUUUUCCGAUUCGAUUUGACGGAGCUUGUCCGGCGUAACUUCAGUUGCCACGAAUAACAAACCAGAGAUCCUUCAAAUAAAGUUCUGAUGCGUGCAGUGAGGAAGAUUUUAAUGAAGGUGAUGAACACUGAGAUUGUCACGUAAAGGAGCGGAUUCGGUGCAGGUCGAAGAAGAUCGUCGUGCGAAGCUUGUCUGAAGAAGAACGCGGAAGAUUGUAGCAGGAAGAUGAAGAAGAAGCUUCUGAUGGCUGAAUGAAAUUCUGUUGAAUCAAUAGAGGUGUGUUGAAGAUUGAGAGUAUGCGUGAGUUUCUGAAUAUUGGUGAUGGACCGUGAAUCUCUCUGUGACAGGUUCUAAUUUUCUCUUUUCUCUUUUUUGUUAUAUUGAGGAAUGAAGUAUAAUGAAGAUGAUGAGUUAAUGGAAGAACUGUGAUUGAAGCUGAUGUAGAGAUUGUAUGUUGAUGAAUGUGGAGGUUACAGAGAGUUGAUGGAGAUUGAAUGUGAAGAAGGUUGAAUGAAUCAGAGAAAAAUGGUUGAGAAGGUGAAGAAGAAUGGAAGAUUCAAGGUGAGAAAAGUGAAGAUGAAGAAAUGGUGAAGAAAGAAAAUGGUGGCUAGGUGAAUGAAAAAUGGUGGGGGAGUGUGUGAACAAUGGUUGAAGAAUCUGAAGCUGAUAAAGUGGUGGGAACCUUGAAUCAUGGAGGGAGGUUCUCUUAUAUAGAAGCUGAUGAAGGUGAAGUUAGUUAGAGGAGAAGAAAUGAUUCAGUUGAGGUAUUCAAAUGGUGGGUUUAAUAAGAACCACAUUGAGAAUGAAGGAAAGUUGAAUGAAUGGGUCACUAUGUGUAAAACCAGUUUUCUGUUCCUUGGAAUUAGACACAGUUGAGUUAACAACCACUCCACAUGCCAGAACAUUGUCAGAGAAGACAGCAUAAUGAUAAAGUUCCGGAUCAUGACUCUUAUUUUCAUUUGGCAGCUUUCUAUCCUCAGGUCUCAUGGAAAAGUAAUCGACAGUUGGUUGCGUAGAGAGACCGUGAAGACCUUAGGGCAUUCUAAUUGACUUUGUAUAGGUUUUUUUUGUAUGAAUUUCUCAGGUAAAUUUAACUUGUACCUUUUCCUGUAUUCAAAAGAAAAUAGUGACAAUCAAGUAUAAAUAAUGGAAUCCGUAUGAUUUAGCC
Vicia villosa (hairy vetch) is the source of this 1401-nucleotide long non-coding RNA. RefSeq lists it as uncharacterized. NCBI's taxonomy places the organism in Eukaryota, Viridiplantae, Streptophyta, Magnoliopsida, Fabales, Fabaceae. The record is from RefSeq and is a predicted model, not a curated record. The transcript is spliced from 3 exons.